AGAAGCGAAAACAAUUUAACAAAUUGAGCGGACAAUAAAAGCAUUAUAAAGAUCACAUAAAAGAUGAUGGUGAAGAUGAUGAUAAAGAUGAUAAAGUGAGCCAUUAGAUUGUAUAUACAUCAGAAAUAUAAUCAUCCAUAACACAUACAUAAUACACAUAAACAAAUAGACGGGAUAAACAGAUAAAAGAUUACGAUGAAGAUGAUGAUGAUGAUGCUGAUGGAAUGAAAAAAAGGAUUUUUUUUCUUCUUCUUCUCCUUGUUAUUGAUAUUUUGAAGUUAAGCUCAACACAAAUGAAACCCUUAAUCCUAUGUCCAAUCAUUUAAUAAAUACAUUAUUACCAAAAUUAUAUUUUUGUUUUGUUUGUUACCGAUUCAAUAUUAACAUUAACGCGCCUUUUGUCUAUCAUUUUUAACUUGCAUCAAGCUCCAUCUUGUCUCGUCCAUAAGCAACAAGCAACCCCUCGCUUUUCAAAGCUCAUCCACCUUCACUUGACUGCUAAUAUUUGUACACGUUAAUCCGAUUAAAUCUGGUUACCCUAAUCUUCAUCAUCUUCAACAUCAACAUCAUCAUCGACAUCAUUAUAACCAUUCAAUUCAAUUCAAUCAAAUUCCGAUCGUUUGCUCUUUUCUUUCAAUGGGUUUUCCUUUGCUCUCUACUUUACCAUCACCCUAAUUGAUUUUACACUUACCAUCUUUUGUUGACAAAAAAAGGUAAAGGUGACAAUAAACAAAUAAGAUGACAAUUCAUUGCUGGUCAAAUUGGUAAACACACUUUCUAUACUCCAUUCAGUAGUAAAAACAAGUUUUACUCUGAAAAAAAACAAGACUCACUCCUUUAUUAUUAUCAAGAGACCAUUUGAAUCUGUUUUUUUUCUGAUAUUGUUGGUGGUGAUAAUGUUCAUCUGUAAAUAGAUUAAUGUUUCCUCUCACUGGACUCAUCACUGUUAACAAUGAGUUUAUUAAAUUUGCAGUUUAAUU
Tetranychus urticae (two-spotted spider mite) is the source of this 980-nucleotide long non-coding RNA. RefSeq lists it as uncharacterized. The record is from RefSeq and is a predicted model, not a curated record. NCBI's taxonomy places the organism in Eukaryota, Metazoa, Arthropoda, Arachnida, Trombidiformes, Tetranychidae.